This 77-nucleotide transfer RNA is filed under the name Erwinia tracheiphila. RNAcentral describes it as "tRNA-Met". It matches the Rfam family "tRNA". Rfam says of the family: Transfer RNA (tRNA) molecules are approximately 80 nucleotides in length. Their secondary structure includes four short double-helical elements and three loops (D, anti-codon, and T loops). Lineage: Bacteria; Pseudomonadati; Pseudomonadota; Gammaproteobacteria; Enterobacterales; Erwiniaceae. The record is from RNAcentral.
GGCCCCUUAGCUCAGUUGGUUAGAGCACGCGACUCAUAAUCGCUUGGUCGCUGGUUCAAACCCAGCAGGGGCCACCA